GCAUAUGGCCAUACCACCGUGAAUGCAGCAGGUAACAUCUGAUCUCAGAAGCUAAGCAGUGUCAGGUCAGGUUAAUACUUGGAUGGGAGAACACUGUUGCAAAUGAUCUGGUAGCUUAAAGUA
RNAcentral lists this ribosomal RNA (123 nucleotides) under Jaculus jaculus (lesser Egyptian jerboa). Lineage: Eukaryota; Metazoa; Chordata; Mammalia; Rodentia; Dipodidae. The record is from RNAcentral.